AGGGUUGUGGCUCAGUUGGUAGAGUGCUUGCCUCACAUGCACAAGUCCCUGGGUUCAAUCCCCCAGCAACACCA
Molecule: transfer RNA, 74 nt
Filed under: Ictidomys tridecemlineatus (thirteen-lined ground squirrel)
Lineage: Eukaryota; Metazoa; Chordata; Mammalia; Rodentia; Sciuridae
Description: Spermophilus tridecemlineatus (thirteen-lined ground squirrel) tRNA
Rfam family: tRNA
About the family: Transfer RNA (tRNA) molecules are approximately 80 nucleotides in length.
Source: Rfam by way of RNAcentral